Molecule: transfer RNA, 73 nt
Filed under: Planctomycetaceae bacterium
Lineage: Bacteria; Pseudomonadati; Planctomycetota; Planctomycetia; Planctomycetales; Planctomycetaceae
Also listed under: 4 other names
Description: tRNA-Phe
Rfam family: tRNA
About the family: Transfer RNA (tRNA) molecules are approximately 80 nucleotides in length. Their secondary structure includes four short double-helical elements and three loops (D, anti-codon, and T loops). Further hydrogen bonds mediate the characteristic L-shaped molecular structure. tRNAs have two regions of fundamental functional importance: the anti-codon, which is responsible for specific mRNA codon recognition, and the 3' end, to which the tRNAs corresponding amino acid is attached (by aminoacyl-tRNA synthetases). tRNAs cope with the degeneracy of the genetic code in two manners: having more than one tRNA (with a specific anti-codon) for a particular amino acid; and 'wobble' base-pairing, i.e. permitting non-standard base-pairing at the 3rd anti-codon position.
Source: RNAcentral
GGUCGGGUAGCUCAGUUGGUAGAGCAACGGACUGAAAAUCCGUGUGUCGGCGGUUCGACCCCGCCCCCGACCA